Molecule: ribosomal RNA, 486 nt
Filed under: uncultured bacterium
Lineage: Bacteria
Description: partial 16S ribosomal RNA
Rfam family: Bacterial small subunit ribosomal RNA
Source: RNAcentral
GAUGAACGCUGGCGGCGUGCCUAAUACAUGCAAGUCGAACGCUGGAAAUCUAGCUUGCUAGAUUGAAGGAGUGGCGAACGGGUGAGUAAUACAUAAGCAACCUACCCACGAAGACUGGGAUAAUCUCUGGAAACGGGGACUAAUACCGGAUAGGUAAUCGGAAGGCAUCUUCUGAUUAUUAAAGGUUAAAAACUCUGGUGGAUGGGCUUAUGGCGCAUUAGUUAGUUGGUGAGGUAACGGCCCACCAAGACGAUGAUGCGGAGCCGGACUGAGAGGGUGAACGGCCACAUUGGGACUGAGCCACGGCCCAGACUCCUACGGGAGGCAGCAGUAGGGAAUUUUCGGCAAUGGGGGAAACCCUGACCGAGCAACGCCGCGUGAGUGAUGACGGCCUUCGGGUUGUAAAGCUCUGUUGUAAGGGAAGAACGGUAGAUAGAGAAUAUCUAAAUGACGGUACCUUACCAGAAAGCCACGGCUAACUACGUG